AUCGCCGCGAGGCGAGGUCUGAAGGAAGCGUAGAGCAAACGUGCGAGUCGAUGGACAAAAACCGGAUACAAGGCGCGAGCGUCGGACGAGCGGGCCACUUACCGCGAAGUCCAUAUCCAUCAAGGAUGCGAAGCGUAGAUCCGGCGACCUGUGCACGGAAAGUAACUGAAC
Molecule: non-coding RNA, 171 nt
Filed under: Bradyrhizobium erythrophlei
Lineage: Bacteria; Pseudomonadati; Pseudomonadota; Alphaproteobacteria; Hyphomicrobiales; Nitrobacteraceae
Source: RNAcentral